This 728-nucleotide ribosomal RNA is filed under the name Liolaemus cf. quilmes 5. Its description in RNAcentral is "partial 12S ribosomal RNA". It matches the Rfam family "Bacterial small subunit ribosomal RNA", at positions 69 to 1368 of the family's 1533-position model. The record is from RNAcentral. Lineage: Eukaryota; Metazoa; Chordata; Lepidosauria; Squamata.
AAACCACCAAGGAGCAGGUAUCAGGCACAACCCAUUAGCCCAAAACACCUUGCUACGCCACACCCACACGGGCACCCAGCAGUGAUAAAUAUUAAGCAAUGAGUAAAAGCUAAAUAAAGCUCGACUUAGUUAUGGUUAUUAGGGCCGGUAAACCUCGUGCCAGCCACCGCGGUUAUACGAGGGGCCCAAAACAACAGACACCGGCGUAAAUUGUGACUAGAGCACCUACUUACAUCAUUGGAAAAAUAAACAAAAACUCAAUCGUAAAACCUGAGCCAAAAGAAACAUACUUUUCCAACUACAAAGAAGCUUGAACCCACGAAGACUAAGAAACAAACUAGGAUUAGAUACCCUACUAUGCUUAGUUGUUAAUAUGAUACCAAAAACACUGGUAUCCGCCAGAAAAUUACACGCGAAAAGCUUAAAACUCAAAGGACUUGGCGGUGCUCCGUAUUCGCCUUAGAGGAGCCUGUCCUAUAAUCGAUAACCCACGCUUUACCUUACCAUCUUUUGUCAAAACAGCCUAUAUACCGCCGUCGCAAACUUACCCCAUGAGGGCAAAACAGUAAGUAAAAUAGUAGUACACUAACACGUCAGGUCAAGGUGUAGCUAAUAAGAUGGAAGAGAUGGGCUACAUUUUCUAAAACAGAAUACACGGCAAAGAGCAUUGAAAUAUGCUCUAAAAGGCGGAUUUAAUAGUAAGAUAGAAAAGAAGACCUAUCUAAAAA